Molecule: long non-coding RNA, 548 nt
Organism: Ostrea edulis (European flat oyster)
Lineage: Eukaryota; Metazoa; Mollusca; Bivalvia; Ostreida; Ostreidae
Exons: 2
Source: RefSeq, a predicted model, not a curated record
AAAUUGCUGCCAACAAUUGGGAUAGCCUUUCCUCCAAUUUUCAAUCUCUUGUACAUACGUUAAUUCUGCUUGAACGCGAAUCUGUAUUAUCCGACCUACAGUCUCCUGCAGAUGAAUAAUGUGUUUGUUUUGCUUAAUAGCUUCCUCUACCAAAUGAAAUUCAGUGGUAUCAGCCAUGGUUAACAGCAACACUAGUUGACAAACAGUGUCAAUACAUAUGUAGUAUAGGAGAAAGAAAAUCUUUGGCUGGACCAGAAAUCGAACCCGGGACCCCUACAUUACUAGUCAGGUGCUCUAACCACUGAGCUAUCCAGGCAGAUAUCUUCGGCAUCCCCCCUUGGAGAAGUGGGCCUAGCCCUUCAUUUAAACAAUUUUGAUUCAUCUUUAUCCAAGGAUGCUCUGUACAAGUGGUUUUAUGGAAGAAGUUGAGAAAGUGCCAAGUUUACAAACUAAUGAUGAUCAGGAAAACUUCAGCUUUAGUUCAGCUGAACUAAAAUGUCACAGUUUUUGCUUCAAGUACACAAGUAUUAAAUAUGUAAUUCACUGUC